ACAGAGGAGUCAUGUUACCCAUUGGCUCUGAUUCUUCACCCUACCUGCCCACACCCUUUGCCCAGUGACUUUGCAGUUCCUCCCCUGUGGGGGAAGUGAAUUUCCUCCCUCCGUCUCCUUGACUCUGGGUGGGCUGUGUGACUUUUCCUUGCUCAAUAGAAUGAGAAGGAGGUGGCGCACCGGCUACAAGGCUAGACCGGGGGCUCGCAUAUCUCCACUUGCAGCUGCCACUGCCAUUAGAAGAACUUGCUCAGCCAGCUCCUGGGCCCCAGGAAAAGGACAAGUGUCACCCAGAACAGAGCCACCUCCAGCUGCACUCAGCUCCAGAAGCUGGCCCAGCCGGUCCAGUACACCUUUUAAAUAAUGUCCUCUACGUGCCGGUGUGGAAGUAGCCCGGAUGCAAUUGAAUGAACAACAGACGGUGCUUUCCAGGACGGCGCUGUGCUUUCCAGGAUGGUGCUGUGCUUUCAUUCAUUUGGGUAGCUCCUCUGUGAGCCUCCCAGCGCCGACUGCAGAGCCCCCACUCUCCAGCCUGCAAGACCCCGAAAUUCAAGCCACACAAAGAAAGGAGGAGGGGGCCGUUGGCAUUUACUGAACCUUAUAAAACUGUCAGCAAAACAGCCCUUAGGCUUGGACUCCCUGCUAGCCGGGUUUUACGGUGCUGAAGUCAGCAUCUUGAUUCAGCUGCAUAAAUAAUCUCCUGCAGUCCUGCAAGGCCUGGGGUAGGAGAGGGUAUGGGGACCAGGGCACUCUGUAAGGGCUGGGAUAGGAACCCCAGGGAAUAAGACAGACCAACUGCGGGACUUCAGACUCCACUGCAGCCGGGAUCGGGUUGUUGUUAAUUUCUUAAGCAAUUUCUAAAUUCUGUAUUGACUCUCUCAUGCAUGUAACUGAUCCUUAGAUAUUGUCAGCCAAAUGACUAAAGGAUUUAGAAAUCUGAUUGACUUUUGGAAAUCUGAUUGACUGGCACACUCUCUCUGCCUCUUUCUUUCUCAACAUUUUAUUUCUAACUAUAGUUUCUUCUGUUUUUUUUAGUUACCCUAAGCAGAUCAGACAUCUCACUUUCAAAAAAUACCUUUCAAAACAUACCUUUAAAAAAUGACUUGCAAAAAAAUACCUCACCUCCUCUUAUUUUGGCAGUAGUGAGAGUAGUAGCCCCAAUGCCAACCAGCAUCUCGUCCCUGCCUCUACACCGUGCCCUGGCUGGGAAAAGUUCCAUCCCACACAUGAGCUGUGGGGUCUGGGCCAGGAGGAGCCAUUGCUCUCGCUUAUGAAGAAGAUAGAGCUGGAUCAGUGAAUGGUACCAGAGGCACACACCUCAGACCCCGCUCCAGUUCAGGUUCUGUUGCUCAGAUCUAUCAUUUUCUAUUUAUUCUGUGCGACGGCCCCAAGUUUAGCAAUCUAAAGCUUGCAUAGCCGGGCUCGGUGGCUCAACGCCUGUAAUCCCAGCAACUUGGGAGGCCAAGGCGGGCAGAUCACCUGAAGUCAGGAGUUUGAGACCAGCCUGGCCAACUUGAUGAAACCCCAUCUCUACUAAAAAAUACAAAAAUUAGCCGGUCAUGGUGGUGGGUACUUGUAAUCUCAGCUACUUGGGAGGCUGGAGAAUCACUUGAACCCAGAGGCGGAGGUUGCAGUGACCGGCGAUUACGCCAUUGCACUCCAGCCUGGGUGACAAGAGCGAAACUCCAUCUCAAAUAAAUAAAUGCAUAAAUAAAUAAAUAAAUAAAUAAAUAAAUAAAUAAAGCCAGCCAGCUUGCAUAAAGAAAGUCACAGUUAUAACUACAUAAAGUAACAGGUCAGCAUGCAGGGGUCCAAGAUGCAUUCUUGUUGCCGAUAGAGUUGGUUCACACAGCUGCAUGGAGGGUGCCCAGGAGGGGACGGUGGCUGCACCUCAAUCCAGCUCCCUUCAAUGGCACUGAGCCUUAGGAAUGCAGUGUGGAACAUGUAAGAAGUUUCUGCAGGUGGAGACAUGUUGUCUCUGGAAUUAAUUCAGACGAAUGCUCUGUGACUUAUUUGUUCCGACUGGGCCUUGCCAUGGCCUCUGGGCCUUUGGUCUCCAAUGUUUACUUAACUUCCUGCCUUAAGCUCAUGGCAGCCUUGACCCUACGUGGGACAUGAUUUCUAAUGUUUUCUCCCUAUCCUUUCAAGGGUAAUCGGGAUAAAAGGAGAACACCUGUGCCAUUUAGACCCAGUAAUCUCGGGGCGGGAGUGGUUACUUGGGGCAGUGGCGGGGGCCAGUCAGACACCAGGAAGGAAGGACAAGAAAAAAAAAACCUGUGACACAUGCAUAGAAAUUACUCAGGGAUCCUUCAAAGCAACACAGAAAUACAUAUAAAGUAAUCCUCUUUAAAAAGAAUCGUAACCCUGGUUCUAAACUGAAGACUUAUUCUGAAAUAUUCUGAUGUCAUAGUCUCAAAAACUGAAACUCUUGUAAUUGGAAAAUGUAAUUAUCUAGAGCUUUUGUGGCUUCUGUACAUAUCUCUCUGUUGCUAAACAGAGAAUAAUAUAAUUAAUAAAUGGUAAAAGGAA
Molecule: long non-coding RNA, 2529 nt
Organism: Homo sapiens (human)
Lineage: Eukaryota; Metazoa; Chordata; Mammalia; Primates; Hominidae
Gene: LINP1
Product: lncRNA in non-homologous end joining pathway 1
Source: Ensembl